RNAcentral lists this long non-coding RNA (695 nucleotides) under Homo sapiens (human). RNAcentral describes it as "HSALNT0282839". Lineage: Eukaryota; Metazoa; Chordata; Mammalia; Primates; Hominidae. The record is from RNAcentral.
GUAAGUAAGAAACUUCUCUCCUCUUUUCUCACAAUGUGCGCUCACCUAGACGGCCGGGCAGUUAGGAUCGUCUAUUGGAUGUGAAACCAGAGAUGCCCGCCAACCUGGAAUAGAGAGGAAGAGAGCAAGCAGAUUUGAACCUAUCUGCUUUCAAGCUGGUCAUCAUGAUGAAACUUAGACACAUGAUCCACUCGCUUCGGCCUCCCAAAGUGCUGGGAUUAUAGGCGUGAGCCACUGUGCCCAGCCUCACAGCUGCAUCUUAACCUUACCUUUGCCUCUGCCUCUCAAGCUGGUACCUCCUAAUUUACAUCCUAAGAGUGGAACCAUGUGACAAGGACUGGAGUGCCAUUGGCUGUGGACUGUUCAGGCAGGGAAGUACAAGACCACUCUUGUAUUCAGGGGCAACCAAAGGAGAGAAUUACGUACUUGUUGAGUACAAACUGCACCAAGCCCUGGAGACCCAUUACCACCGUUAACCCUCAAUACAGCUCUGCUAGUAAGGGAUUCGUCUCCCCAAAUGAAAAAAAAAAGUAAUCUCAGAAUGUUGGCCGAGCAUGGUGGCUCACACCUGUAAUCCCAGUUAUGCAGGAGGCUGAGGCAGGAGAAUCACUUGAUCUCAGGAGGCGGAGGUUGCAGUGAGUCGACAUCACACCACUGCACUCCAGCCUGGGGGACAGAGUGAGACUUCGUCUCGG